This is an RNA transcript of Clarias gariepinus (North African catfish), 1078 nucleotides long. It is a transcript of the gene named PTTG1 interacting protein b, with no coding region annotated. Lineage: Eukaryota; Metazoa; Chordata; Actinopteri; Siluriformes; Clariidae. The record is from RefSeq and is a predicted model, not a curated record. The transcript is spliced from 8 exons.
GCCGAUGCUAGCAGUGUUAGCUUCCCCGAGCAUGGCUCGUCCUCCCGCUGUGCUCGCGCUCUAUCUCUCCCUGACCCUCUGUCUCCGGUGGACCGGAGGAGUCUCCGCUCAGAACAGCUGUGUUACAGGGUCGAGCUGUGAGGAGUGUGUGUCUAACACUACAUGUGUAUGGUGUGGCAGGACUCAGAAGUGUGUGGAUUACCCAGUCGAGACCUUUUUCCCUUCACACAGUCUGUGUCCGCUUAGUAAUGCACGCUGGAGUUACUGCUGGUUGAACUACCAGACUCUGAUUAUUGCGGGUGCUGUGUUCGGGUGUUUGUUCAUCAUCUCUGUGCUCAUCUGUUGCAUCUGCUGCUUCAAGAAUUUUUCAAAAACCAGAUCUGGGCAUACAAAUGAGUGUCCUGUGAGAGAGGCUGAGCUCAGACAAGUCCGACAUAUGGAGAGCGCAUAGGAGUGUUGUCGAGUAAAUACGUGAACACGUGACCGCAGCGUGAUCUGGACAGCGUGAUAAUAGUGUGUUUGUGUUUUCUGAAAAGCGGAGAUGAGAUUGAGACAUGAUGAGAUCAGGAGGAAAUACGGUCUGACGAAGAAGAGCCCCUACUCCAGAAUUUAGAACAACUAACACACACACACUCCGAUACUUCUGCUGUGCUGAAGCAGUGUGAACACUUCUUUUAUUAUUACUAUUAUUGUUUACAUUGUAUUUUGUUUACGCCGUGUGACCCGGCUGCAGUUUGUCCCUGUUCUGUGAAUGUGCCAUGUUUCUGUCCUCUGUUUACACUUCUACAUGAGAAAUUAUCUCACAUUUCAAUAUUUUAACAUGUUUUUUCUCUCACACACACACACACACACAGAGUGGCAACAGACAGACGAGACAUUUUAUUUUUUUGACAAUCUGUACAGCAACACUUUUAUAAAGUCUGAAUGUUAAACACGCACAUCAUCGCUGUGUGGUAAAGGGUUUCACUUCAGUCCACUGCAUUUCACUUUAUUAUUCAUACUCUACACACUUCUGCUGAAACACCCCGAUAGCAGCAGAUUUGUGUGUGAUAAAGCACUAAAUAAACUAUUUAUUGAG